RNAcentral lists this ribosomal RNA (497 nucleotides) under uncultured bacterium. RNAcentral describes it as "partial 16S ribosomal RNA". It matches the Rfam family "Bacterial small subunit ribosomal RNA", at positions 28 to 507 of the family's 1533-position model. The record is from RNAcentral.
GAUGAACGCUGGCGGCGUGCCUAAUACAUGCAAGUCGAGCGAACAGAUCAUGAGCUUGCUGCUCUCACGUUAGCCGAAGACGGGUGAGUAACGCGUGUAUAACCUACCUGUCAUUCUGGUAUAACUUCGGGACACCGGCGCUAAUCCCGUAUGAUCUCUUGAACCGCAGUGUUCAAUAGUAAAAGACGGCUUUGCUGUCUGUUAUCGCUGGUUCCGCGCCGGAGUGGCUAGUUGGUGAGGUAAAGGCUUACCAAGGGAACGAUGCGUAACCGACCGGAGAGGGUGAUCGGCCACACUGGAAGUGAGACACGGACCAGACUCCUACGGGAGGCAGCAGUAGGGAAUCGGCCGCAAUGGGCGAGAGCCUGACGGAGCAACGCCGCGUGAGUUAUGAAGGCCUUCCGAGCGUAAAACUCUGUUAUUAGUGAAGAACAAAUGUGUACGUAACUAUGCACUGCUUGACGGUACUGAAUAAGGAAGCCACGGCUAACUACGUG